AACGAACGCUGGCGGCAUGCCUAACACAUGCAAGUCGAACGAUUGCCUUCGGGUGAUAGUGGCGCACGGGUGCGUAACGCGUGGGAAUCUGCCCUUGGGUUCGGAAUAACAGCUGGAAACGGCUGCUAAUACCGGAUGAUAUCGCGAGAUCAAAGAUUUAUCGCCUGAGGAUGAGCCCGCGUUGGAUUAGGUAGUUGGUGGGGUAAAGGCCUACCAAGCCGACGAUCCAUAGCUGGUCUGAGAGGAUGAUCAGCCACACUGGGACUGAGACACGACCCAGACUCCUACGGGAGGCAGCAGUGGGGAAUAUUGGACAAUGGGCGCAAGCUUGAUCCAGCAAUGCCGCGUGAGUGAUGAAGGCCCUAGGGUUGUAAAGCUCUUUUACCCGGGAAGAUAAUGACUGUACCGGGAGAAUAAGCCCCGGCUAACUCCGUGCCAGCAGCCGCAGUAA
Molecule: ribosomal RNA, 451 nt
Filed under: uncultured bacterium
Lineage: Bacteria
Description: partial 16S ribosomal RNA
Rfam family: Bacterial small subunit ribosomal RNA
Source: RNAcentral